UGUCCAGACUCCUACGGGAGGCAGCAGUGGGGAAUAUUGCGCAAUGGGCGAAAGCCUGACGCAGCGACGCCGCGUGAGGGAUGAAGGUCUUCGGAUCGUAAACCUCUGUCAGCAGGGAAGAACGGUCACUGUGCUAAUCAGCAGUGAAUUGACGGUACCUGCAAAGGAAGCACCGGCUAACUCCGUGCCAGCAGCCGCGGUAAUACGGAGGGUGCGAGCGUUAAUCGGAAUUACUGGGUGUAAAGGGAGCGUAGGCGGCUGUGUAAGCCAGAAGUGAAAGCCCGGGGCUCAACUCCGGGACUGCUUUUGGAACUACAUGGCUUGAUUGCAGGAGAGGCAAGUGGAAUUCCUAGUGUAGCGGUGAAAUGCGCAGAUAUUAGGAGGAACACCAGUGGCGAAGGCGGCUUGCUGGACUGUAAAUGACGCUGAGGCUCGAAAGCGUGGGGAGCAAACAGGAUUAGAUACCCGGGUA
This 472-nucleotide ribosomal RNA is filed under the name uncultured bacterium. Its description in RNAcentral is "bacterial SSU rRNA". It matches the Rfam family "Bacterial small subunit ribosomal RNA", at positions 328 to 792 of the family's 1533-position model. The record is from RNAcentral.